This 366-nucleotide ribosomal RNA is filed under the name uncultured eukaryote. RNAcentral's name for it is "partial 18S ribosomal RNA". It matches the Rfam family "Eukaryotic small subunit ribosomal RNA", at positions 592 to 976 of the family's 1831-position model. The record is from RNAcentral.
CAAUAGCGUAUAUUAAAGUUGUUGCAGUUAAAAAGCUCGUAGUUGAAUUUCUGGUGGGCGCGCCGGUCUUCCAAGUGUUGUACUGGGCGCAGUCCGCCAUCCUUGUGGAGAGGGCUCGCAUUGAGUUGCGUGUCGGAUCUGCAUCAUUUACUGUGAAAAAAUUAGAGUGUUUAAAGCAGGCUGUCGCUUGAAUACAUUAGCAUGGAAUAAUAAGAUAGGACUUCGGUCUAUUUUGUUGGUUGCAAACCGAGGUAAUGAUUAAUAGGGAUAGUUGGGGGUAUUCAUAUUUAAUUGUCAGAGGUGAAAUUCUUGGAUUUAUGAAAGAUGAACAACUGCGAAAGCAUUUACCAAGGAUGUUUUCAUUAA